UACGGAGGGUGCAAGCGUUAUCCGGAUUUACUGGGUUUAAAGGGUGUGUAGGCGGACUUUUAAGUCAGCGGUGAAAUCUCCGGGCUCAACCCGGAAACUGCCAUUGAUACUAUUUGUCUUGAAUGUUGUUGAGGUGGGCGGAACGGGUCAUGUAGCGGUGAAAUGCAUAGAUAUGACCCGGAACACCGAUUGCGUAGGCAGCUAACUAGGCUGUAACUGACGCUGAGGCACGAAAGCGUGGGGAGCGAACAGG
This 253-nucleotide ribosomal RNA is filed under the name uncultured bacterium. RNAcentral describes it as "partial 16S ribosomal RNA". It matches the Rfam family "Bacterial small subunit ribosomal RNA", at positions 524 to 776 of the family's 1533-position model. The record is from RNAcentral.